RNAcentral lists this ribosomal RNA (404 nucleotides) under Fusobacteriota bacterium. RNAcentral's name for it is "Fusobacteria bacterium partial 16S ribosomal RNA". It matches the Rfam family "Bacterial small subunit ribosomal RNA", at positions 355 to 776 of the family's 1533-position model. Lineage: Bacteria; Fusobacteriati; Fusobacteriota. The record is from RNAcentral.
UGGGGAAUAUUGCACAAUGGAGGGAACUCUGAUGCAGCGACGCCGCGCGAGUGAUGAAGGAAUUCGUUUCGUAAAACUCUGUUCUAUGGGAAGAAAAGGACUGUACCAUAGGAGAAAGCUCCGGCUAAAUACGUGCCAGCAGCCGCGGUAAUACGUAUGGAGCGAGCGUUGUCCGGAAUUAUUGGGCGUAAAGGGUGCGCAGGCGGCUUUACAAGUUGGAUGUGAAAUAUUGUGGCUCAACCACAAACGUGCAUCCAAAACUGCAAAGCUUGAGUUAAGGAGAGGUAAGGGGAAUGCCUGGUAUAGCGGUAGAAUGCGUAGAUAUCAGGAGGAAUACCGGUGGCGAAGGCGACUUACUGGACUUAUACUGACGCUCAGGCACGAAAGCGUGGGGAGCAAACAGG